AACGAACGCUGGCGGCAGGCCUAACACAUGCAAGUCGAACGCUCCGCAAGGGGAGUGGCGCACGGGUGAGUAACACGUGGGAACCUACCUUCUGGUACGGAACAACCAAGGGAAACUUUGGCUAAAACCGUAUACGACCUCCGGGUGAAAGAUUGAUCGCCGGAAGAGGGGCCCGCGUCCGAUUAGGUAGUUGGUGAGGUAACGGCUCACCAAGCCUACGAUCGGUAGCUGGUCUGAGAGGAUGGCCAGCCACACUGGGACUGAGACACGGCCCAGACUCCUACGGGAGGCAGCAGUGGGGAAUAUUGGACAAUGGGCGCAAGCCUGAUCCAGCCAUGCCGCGUGAGUGAUGAAGGCC
This 358-nucleotide ribosomal RNA is filed under the name uncultured bacterium. RNAcentral's name for it is "bacterial SSU rRNA". It matches the Rfam family "Bacterial small subunit ribosomal RNA", at positions 29 to 416 of the family's 1533-position model. The record is from RNAcentral.